GCGCGAGUGCUGUAAUUGGUAGCCAGGCAUCCUUGAGGUGGAUGUGGGGGUAACCCCGUGGAGGUUCAAGUCCUCUCUCGCGCA
This 84-nucleotide transfer RNA is filed under the name Candidatus Berkelbacteria bacterium RIFCSPHIGHO2_12_FULL_50_11. Its description in RNAcentral is "tRNA-Leu". RNAcentral also lists the same sequence under 1 other name. Lineage: Bacteria; Candidatus Berkelbacteria. The record is from RNAcentral.